GACGAACCGUGCGAACGUUGUUCGGAAUCACUGGGCUUAAAGGGCUCGUAGGCGGUUUGUCGCGUCGGGAGUGAAAUCCACUGGCUUAACUGGUGGCUUGCUUUCGAUACGGGCAGACUGGAGGUAUGCAGGGGAGAACGGAAUUCCUGGUGUAGCGGUGAAAUGCGCAGAUAUCAGGAGGAACACCGGUGGCGAAGGCGGUUCUCUGGGCAUGUCCUGACGCUGAGGAGCGAAAGUGUGGGGAGCGAACAGG
Molecule: ribosomal RNA, 253 nt
Filed under: uncultured bacterium
Lineage: Bacteria
Description: partial 16S ribosomal RNA
Rfam family: Bacterial small subunit ribosomal RNA
Source: RNAcentral